Molecule: ribosomal RNA, 490 nt
Filed under: uncultured bacterium
Lineage: Bacteria
Description: partial 16S ribosomal RNA
Rfam family: Bacterial small subunit ribosomal RNA
Source: RNAcentral
AUUGAACGCUGGCGGCAUGCCUUACACAUGCAAGUCGAACGGCAGCAUGAUCUAUCUUGCUAGAUUGAUGGCGAGUGGCGAACGGGUGAGUAAUACAUCGGAACGUGCUCUGUAGUGGGGGAUAACUAGUCGAAAGAUUAGCUAAUACCGCAUACGACCUGAGGGUGAAAGGGGGGGACUGCAAGGCCUCAUGCUAUAGGAGCGGCCGAUGUCUGAUUAGCUAGUUGGUGAGGUAAAGGCUCACCAAGGCGACGAUCAGUAGCUGGUCUGAGAGGACGAUCAGCCACACUGGGACUGAGACACGGCCCAGACUCCUACGGGAGGCAGCAGUGGGGAAUUUUGGACAAUGGGCGAAAGCCUGAUCCAGCAAUGCCGCGUGUGUGAAGAAGGCCUUCGGGUUGUAAAGCACUUUUGUCCGGAAAGAAAUGGCUCUCGUUAAUACCUGGGGUCGAUGACGGUACCGGAAGAAUAAGGACCGGCUAACUCCGUG